This 68-nucleotide transfer RNA is filed under the name Trimma sp. ROM-80442. Its description in RNAcentral is "tRNA-Ser". The record is from RNAcentral. Lineage: Eukaryota; Metazoa; Chordata; Actinopteri; Gobiiformes; Gobiidae.
GAAAGAGGCCCGCCGCAAUGGAGGCCGCUACCCUCCAUGUACUUCGGUUGAACUCCGAUGAUCUUUCG